Molecule: ribosomal RNA, 262 nt
Filed under: uncultured archaeon
Lineage: Archaea
Description: partial 16S ribosomal RNA
Rfam family: Archaeal small subunit ribosomal RNA
Source: RNAcentral
AGGGUGUAAACGCUGCGGGCUUGGUGUUGGGGGUCCUUAGUGGGCGCCCAGUGCCGGAGAGAAGUUGUUAAGCCUGCUGCUUGGGGAGUAUGUCCGCAAGGAUGAAACUUAAAGGAAUUGGCGGGGGAGCCCCGCAACGGGAGGAGCGUGCGGUUCAAUUGGAUUCAACGCCGAAAAACUCACCAGGAGCGACGGAUAUAUGAAGGCCAGGCUGAUGACCUUGCCUGAUUUUUCCGAGAGGAGGUGCAUGGCGUAGUCGUGU